Molecule: long non-coding RNA, 2384 nt
Organism: Bombyx mori (domestic silkworm)
Lineage: Eukaryota; Metazoa; Arthropoda; Insecta; Lepidoptera; Bombycidae
Exons: 2
Source: RefSeq, a predicted model, not a curated record
AAAUACUGGUAAGGUCAGCCGUGCGAUUCUGUAAGCGUUGUUUAACAAACUCGCACGUGAAUUUGGUGUGAGUUUUUAAAUUGGCAUUCUGUAAAUUUCAUUGUAGUGCCGAAUCUACACUAGCGCCCCUCGCGGGUGAAUUGAACUAGCAAGCGUGAGUUUUUUUUACUAAAAUGUAUGAGUUGACGUUGAUGUUGAGUUUGAAACGGCAUUCUGUAGUGUAAAUCACGUUGAAUUUCGGCAAGAACUUCGCAUCGCAAAAUCAUUUUAUUUGUCAAAUCAAAAGUUAGUGUUUUAAGUGUUUCUUGUGAGUGAGAAUAUACGAAAACGUUAUAAAUCGCUGUUAAUUAUUAAAAAAAUACUAUUAAUUAACAAAAUUGCACUUUAAAAUAACUAUUCUUCAUCGAUAUUUUAUGGAGCGUAUGUUUUUAUUGAAAACAUUGUUGAAAGAGGCUGACGCUACGGAUCAGCGUGAAAUGCGUCGACAAGCCUACGAAAUUCACAAUUUAUCACUUUUAACUUGAGAUGACGACUAUGUAAAAGUAUAAAGAAAGUGUAUAAAUUGUCGAAGGAUAUAUGAUCCUUAACCAGUUAGGGUGUGAAUUACACCCUUUGACGAAGACCACUAAAAGCCAUUGAAAAGGACUUUCAACUCUUCUAAAGUUUCAGUUAUUGUGCACCUUGUUUAUUUGGGCAAAUGAAGUUACCAAAAAAAUCAUAAAAGAAAAUAUAAGAACAUAUUUGUCCCAGAUAUCCCAGUGUAUAUCUGAGGUUGUGGAGGCUCUGAACAACCCAGCAACUAUAUAUAAAUAUUUAAGAUUCCCGCAGAAUGCUCAAGAAUGGCAAAAGUUGAAGGAAAACUGAAGAAAAAAGAAGGUGGUUUAAACUAAAUAAUUUUUUUUUUUCUUCAUAAAAAAGUACCAAUAUUAAUCUAAUGCUAAAUAUUGCAGUUUUUGUAAAAAAAUUAAAAUCACUUUGGUUGUUGGGUGUAUUGAUGGGACGUUGGUGGCCUUAAAAAGACCUGCCACCAAUAAAAAAUGUUUUUACUGUCACAAAGGCUAUCAUGCCAGAAAAUGUACAAUUUGUAAAGCCAUUAAUAUUUUUCGAAAUUCUGAUGAUAUGUAAUCCAUAAACGAAAUGUGUAUUAUGAACUAUGUAUUCAGAUUGUAUUCGUUUCAGUUAAAUUGAAUUGUGUAUAUUGCUUUAAAGUUAUUGUGAAAUUUAGUAUUUAUUUUAAAUAAACUUUAUUCAGUUAUAAAAAAAACAAAAUAAAAUCUACUAAAGAUUAGUCAAUGACAGCAAGUAAUGACCAUUAUAAAUAAUUAACAUCUUUUCGGUCUUUCUGUAUAUGCUCAACGUUCCAACCUUAUGACACCUUUUGCUAAUUUUUUUUUCAUUUCACCAUCUAAAUGGUUAGACGAGCUCACAGCCCACCUGGUGUUAAGUGGUUACUGGAGCCCAUAGACAUCUACAAAUUAAAUGCGCCACCAACCUUGAGAUAUAAAUUCGAAGGUCUCAGUAUAGUUACAACGGCUGCGCCACCCUUCAAACCGAAACGCAUUACUGCUUCAGAAAUAGGCGAUAAUGCUAUGCUAGCUAAUACCUGCUAAUAAUGGCUAGCUAAUGCUAAUACGGAGAGAGAUACUCCUGAAGCUUUGUAGCACCACCUUCAUUCCACUGCCCGUAACUCAGUGAAAAGAACAAUAGUUCUGUUAAAGAGUAGAUUCAGGUGUUUGCUGAUCCAUAGGGUGCCAAUUUAUCACCCUGAUAAGGUAGCAAAAAUAGCUGUUGCGUGUUGUGUUUUGCACAACAUUUGCAAUUGUGCAGAGCUGCCAGUUCCCAUAAUCUCAAAUUAUGAGAUCACAUUUAAAUUAUGGUGGUCAUGUUGAAUUACUUUGUUAAAUUCUACUAAUUAGCUUACUUGAGUCGUCUAUUAUCAAAGGUGGCAAUCUGUGCAUUUGGACAAAAAAAUGUUAUUGAUAUGUCAAUACAGAUUGAUUUGAAUAUAAUCGUCUCCUUCAAAGAAUACGGUUCAAAACCUGCAUUAAAUAAAGGUUAAUACUUAACCUUAAUAUCUAAGAUAUCGUUUAGAAGAGUUUUGUGACUGCCAAUGGAAUACAACGUCAAUAAUUCGUUUUUCUGAUUUACCAAUAAUUGUCCAAAAGUCACAUUGCCGGCUUUGAUAAUAGUCGACUCAUAUGAUAGCAUAGGUAAGAAAAAAAAGUAAUUUAAUUUAAAUUAUGUAUGCGCGGGCAAGCAUUGACUCCACGUUCGCUUCCCGAGCAGUAGUUACUCUUUUUUCUAAAUUCACUCACUUAUAGUGUGAAGUAACUCACUUAUAGUGUGAAGUAACUUCAAAUAUAAAUUAAUGAUUUAUAAAAAUA